RNAcentral lists this ribosomal RNA (28 nucleotides) under Nakaseomyces glabratus. Its description in RNAcentral is "[Candida] glabrata partial ribosomal RNA". Lineage: Eukaryota; Fungi; Ascomycota; Saccharomycetes; Saccharomycetales; Saccharomycetaceae. The record is from RNAcentral.
CUGCAGUGGGAUUAUAAAACUCUUUAAU